ACCUGGCUGGCUCAGUCGGUACAGCAUGCAACUCUUGAUCACCGGGUUGUGAGUUCGAGCCUCACGUUGGGUG
Felis catus (domestic cat) is the source of this 73-nucleotide non-coding RNA. NCBI's taxonomy places the organism in Eukaryota, Metazoa, Chordata, Mammalia, Carnivora, Felidae. The record is from Rfam.